GCACCUUCGGGUGAGCGGCGGAACGGGUNCCCUAACGCGUGGGAAUAUGCCCAUCCCUACGGAAUAGCCUCGGGAAACUGAGAGUAAUACCGUAUACGCCCUUCGGGGGAAAGAUUUAUUCGGGGAUGGAUUAGCCCGCGUCUGAUUAGAUAGUUGGUGGGGUAACGGCCUACCAAGUCGACGAUCAGUAGCUGGUUUGAGAGGAUGAUCAGCAACACUGGGACUGAGACACGGCCCAGACUCCUACGGGAGGCAGCAGUGGGGAAUCUUAGACAAUGGGCGCAAGCCUGAUCUAGCCAUGCCGCGUGAGUGACGAAGGUCUUAGGAUCGUAAAGCUCUUUCGCUGGGGAAGAU
This 354-nucleotide ribosomal RNA is filed under the name marine bacterium SIMO-IS223. RNAcentral describes it as "bacterial SSU rRNA". It matches the Rfam family "Bacterial small subunit ribosomal RNA", at positions 72 to 449 of the family's 1533-position model. Lineage: Bacteria; Pseudomonadati; Pseudomonadota; Alphaproteobacteria; Rhodobacterales; Paracoccaceae. The record is from RNAcentral.